RNAcentral lists this ribosomal RNA (379 nucleotides) under uncultured cyanobacterium. RNAcentral describes it as "bacterial SSU rRNA". It matches the Rfam family "Bacterial small subunit ribosomal RNA", at positions 376 to 770 of the family's 1533-position model. The record is from RNAcentral. Lineage: Bacteria; Bacillati; Cyanobacteriota.
CGAAAGCCUGACGGAGCAAGACCGCGUGAGGGAGGAAGGCUCUUGGGUUGUAAACCUCUUUUCUCAGGGAAGAAGCUCUGACGGUACCUGAGGAAUCAGCCUCGGCUAACUCCGUGCCAGCAGCCGCGGUAAUACGGAGGAGGCAAGCGUUAUUCGGAAUUAUUGGGCGUAAAGCGUCCGCAGGGGGCUCAUCAAGUCUGCUGUCAAAGGUCGGAGCUCAACUCCGGUUCGGCAGUGGAAACUGGUGGGCUAGAGGGCGACAGGGGUAGAGGGAAUUCCCAGUGUAGCGGUGAAAUGCGUAGAGAUCGGGAAGAACAUCGGUGGCGAAAGCGCUCUACUGGACGGCAACUGACACUCAGGGACGAAAGCUAGGGGAGCG